This is a long non-coding RNA of Corticium candelabrum, 237 nucleotides long. RefSeq lists it as uncharacterized. The record is from RefSeq and is a predicted model, not a curated record. Lineage: Eukaryota; Metazoa; Porifera; Homoscleromorpha; Homosclerophorida; Plakinidae. The transcript has 2 exons.
CUUCUCCGAGGGCUGUUAGACGUUUUAUAUUUAUUAACGAAAGCGUCAUGUAUUCAACUUAUGAGGUUGCAUCUGUGCUGUGGUAGUCUUGGAUAUUGAAAUAACGUUAAAAGCAGGUUGAAUGAAAUGGUAACAGACCUUGAAAUGUAAAGCAGCCUUGUAGUUUGAUUAUCCCAGGAGGAAAGCAGCUCUGUAGUUGUGUGCCUAGAAUUUUUAUUGUUUGUAGAUUUGUUGAUG